UUGGGCGUAAGGGCGUGUAGGCGGUCUUUUAAGUCAGGGGUGAAACCCCGGGGCUCAACCCCGGGCCGGCCUCUGAAACUGGGAGACUUGAGUGCUCUAGAGGGCAGUGGAAUUCCCGGUGUAGCAGUGAAAUGCGUAGAGAUCGGGAGGAACACCAGUGGCGAAGGCGACUGCCUGGGGAGUAACUGACGCUGAGGCGCGAAAGCUGGGGGAGCAAACGGGAUUAGAUACCCCGGUAGUCCCAGCCGUAAACGAUGAGUGCUAGGUGUAGGGGGUAUCGACCCCCCCUGUGCCGGAGUUAACGCAAUAAGCACUCCGCCUGGGGAGUACGGCCGCAAGGUUGAAACUCAAAGGAAUUGACGGGGGGCCCGCACAAGCAGCGGGAGCAUGGUGGUUUAAUUUC
This 403-nucleotide ribosomal RNA is filed under the name uncultured bacterium. RNAcentral's name for it is "bacterial SSU rRNA". It matches the Rfam family "Bacterial small subunit ribosomal RNA", at positions 554 to 953 of the family's 1533-position model. The record is from RNAcentral.